UUAAUAGAUAUAGUUUGAAAAAUUAAAUGUCUGUUUUUGAAAUUGUUAAUUUAUUGUAAUUGAAGUAUCAUUAGUUUUUAGUAAUUUUAUUGAAAAAAUAAUAAUUUGAUAUAGAGGAUUAAGUAUUGUGAAAGAAAGUUUUUAUUAAAAAUGAAGAAGAAAUAGUGUUUUGUACCUUGUGUAUCAGGGUUAACUAAAAAUAUAUUAAAAUUUUAAUUUUCUCGAAUUUGAAAGAGUUAUCUUAUUUGUGAUUUUUAUUGUGGCAAAAAUAUUAUUAACAAUAAGAUAGGGGUGAAACGUUAUUCGAUUUCUAAUAUAUCUAGUUUUUUAAGAAAAAAAUUUAAUUUUCUUUUGUUUUAAUAUUUUUCUAAAUUUUUAGUUUGAUAUUAGAUAAAAGAAAUAAUUCAGGGGUUGAGCUUUGAAUUAAAUUUAUAUAGUUAGAUUGAUUUUAUAAAUAAAUAUGUAGGAUUUAAAGUUUCUUUAUUUAGUGAUUUAUAUCUUAAUUGUUUAAAAGAUAAGAUUUGUUAAAUUUGCUUAUGUUUUCUAUUAAAAUUUAAAUUUUAAUAUUUAUGAUUUAGAAAAAAUGGUUAAAUUAGUACAGUUAAAUUUAUUUUUAGAAAUAAUUUUAAGGUUUAGUUAAAGAACUCGGCAAAUAUAUUUCCCACCUGUUUAUUAAAAACAUGGCCUUUUGAUUAUAAUUUAAGGUCUGGCCUGCCCAAUGAUUUAAUUUUAAAUGGCCGCGGUAUACUGACCGUGCAAAGGUAGCAUAAUCAUUAGUUUUUUAAUUGAAAGCUUGUAUGAAAGGUUUGAUGAGGAAAUUUCUGUUUCGAUUAGAAUUUUUUGGAAUUUUAUUAUUUUGUAAGAAGGCAAAAAUGUUUAUAAAAGACGAGAAGACCCUAUAGAGUUUUAUAAUUUAUUUAGAAAGGGUUAUUAGAAUUUUUUUCUUUAUUUAUUUAAAUUAUUUGGUUGGGGUGAUUGAAUAAUUUAUUAAACUUUUUUUUAUUUAUACCAUUGAUAAGUGAAUAAUUGAUCCUUGUUAAAGAUUAAAAGAAAAAAUUACCUUAGGGAUAACAGCGUUAUUUUUCUAGAGAGUUCUUAUCGAAAGAAGAGUUUGCGACCUCGAUGUUGGAUUAAAAUUUAGGCUUGGUGUAGAGGCUAGGCUUUUAGGUCUGUUCGACCUUUAAAAUUUUACAUGAUCUGAGUUUAGACCGGCGUGAGCCAGGUUGGUUUCUAUCUUUAUAAAAUUAAAAUUUUUUAGUACGAAAGGACCAAAAAUUUACUAAAUUAGUUAUUUAUUGAAUACUAUUACUACUUUGACAGAGAAGUGUGAUAGAUUUAGAAUCUUUUUAUAUAGUUUAUUUAACUAUA
This 1368-nucleotide ribosomal RNA is filed under the name Xyleborinus saxesenii. RNAcentral describes it as "16S ribosomal RNA". The stretch from base 876 to 1243 matches the Rfam family "Archaeal large subunit ribosomal RNA", at positions 2147 to 2719 of the family's 2987-position model. Lineage: Eukaryota; Metazoa; Arthropoda; Insecta; Coleoptera; Curculionidae. The record is from RNAcentral.